CUGAAACGUUUGUAGAUGUUAAAAACGUACAAGGAGGAUUUCAAAUGAGCUCAAACGGAGCCCCCUCUUUCGCAUGCACAUAUAUUAUCCGACGGACGUCAAUCUGCGACACAUAUGUUCACGGAGCUACGCAGGGGUUGUUUUCAAACCACAUGCAAAUGUUUUCAAAGGGGAGUCUGCAGGAAACACAUUCGUCUGACAGCUGCAAUUCUUACUUUGCAGAGGAGCCUUUAGCACACAGAACCUCAGAUGAGCUCAUACCGUGCGGUACCAGGCACACAUCGGAACUACCCAACAUGGCACCACCUACAACUCUGAAAUAUGGACUUGUAGAGCUUGCUAUAUAUACAACUUUUGACACCACUGGCAAUAUGGUAUUUGAACGUGCAAACCUCAGGCUCAAAUGUGGGAUUUGUGUUUGGGAAAUGAUGCGAGGUUCCAGGGUUGUUUGUAUUGUCACUGUGAAACAACUGAAUGCAG
Molecule: long non-coding RNA, 480 nt
Organism: Gasterosteus aculeatus aculeatus (three-spined stickleback)
Lineage: Eukaryota; Metazoa; Chordata; Actinopteri; Perciformes; Gasterosteidae
Source: Ensembl